GACGAACGCUGGCGGCGUGCUUAACACAUGCAAGUCGAACGGAAAGGCCCUGCUUUUGUGGGGUGCUCGAGUGGCGAACGGGUGAGUAACACGUGAGUAACCUGCCCUUUACUUUGGGAUAACUUCAGGAAACUGGGGCUAAUACCGGAUAGGAGCUCCUGCUGCAUGGUGGGGGUUGGUAAGUUUCGGCGUUUGGGGAUGGACUCGCGGCUUAUCAGCUUGUUGGUGUGGUAGUGGCUUACCAAGGCUUUGACGGGUAGCCGGCAUGAGAGGGUGACCGGACAAAAUGGGACUGAGAUACGGCCAAGAAGCCAAAGGGAGGCAGCAGUGGGGAAUAUUGCAAAAUGGGGGGAAGCCUGAUGAAGAAACGCCGCGUGCGGGAUGACGGCCUUCGGGUUGUAAACAGAUUUCGCCUGUGACGAAGCGUGAGUGACGGUAAUGGGUAAAGAAGCACCGGCUAACUACGUG
This 468-nucleotide ribosomal RNA is filed under the name uncultured bacterium. RNAcentral's name for it is "partial 16S ribosomal RNA". It matches the Rfam family "Bacterial small subunit ribosomal RNA", at positions 28 to 507 of the family's 1533-position model. The record is from RNAcentral.